Molecule: unclassified non-coding RNA, 1200 nt
Filed under: Hevea brasiliensis (rubber tree)
Lineage: Eukaryota; Viridiplantae; Streptophyta; Magnoliopsida; Malpighiales; Euphorbiaceae
Source: RNAcentral
GGCAAAGAGGAAGGCGCAGAUGUUGCUAAAAUUGCUUCGGGACUCGUGGCCUGAGGAAUCCUCGGGGAAUUCCGAUGAUUUUGUUUGCAGUGAGGUCGUACCAUUUUGAUGGGUAGAUCAUCCUUGUUGAUGCUCUCUUCUUUUCUUUUUCUUUUUUCUUUUUAAUUUUUCUAAUUUUUAGUUUUUAAAAAAAAGUAGAAAAAUGGAAAUUGAGUUCUAGAUCGGUACAUAGGGAGAGGGACAGAUUGUAAUUCUGUAUGUAAUUUUUUAUGUAAGAAUUUUUGCGAAGAAAGAUUUUAAGGAAACUUGAAAAGCAAACGAAAAGUUAGUUAUGUUGUUAUAUUUUUCCCUAAUUUUUUUUUUCUGUUAUUUUUUUUUUUUGCCUACUCUAUGCAGAGCUAGUUUUACAUGCAGAUUGGCAAUAGUUUGGUGACGGAUGGCUUAUAGAACCUUUCCUUCAAAUGCUAAACUAUUUGAUUUUUUUUUUAUAGUAUUGAUUUUAAUAGGGAUUUGAUUAUUUUUUUUUAUAUGAUUUUCAACUAAUUAACUCAAAUUUGGAAAUUCCAUUCUCAAUUCUCACUUAAAAAUUGAAAUUUGGGCCUUUCAAGCAAAGCAGCUAACUAAUCAGUUGAAACUAGGCAAGUUUCUUCUUAUAUUUGGAGAGUGAGGGAUUCAGAAUUCAAUUAUUCUCAUUUAAAGGAGAAUAAUUCACUUCAUUAUUAUAGAUGCAAAGUAUGCAACUGAGCACUAGUUAAAAUACAUUGAGUUAUAGCGAAGGCUGAGCCACUAGAAUGGUAACAAUGGGUGGCUAGUGAUAGGGUCGAGUAGGAAUGGAUGGGCCUGUUUGAGUCAGACAAAAACAAUACUGAUAAAUGGUGAAGAAUAAAAAGAAGAGCAAAGGUGCAGAUUCCUCAAACCUCACAAAUCACAAUCGAAGGUUGGGAGGUUGUGCCCUAGAGUCCAGACCAUUUCUGUUUGUGCAGUUUGUGUAUCCCUCACUGUGAUAAGAUCCUCUAGCUGCAGUCUAAAGCAAGAAUGUGUCAUCAUGAAAUUAUUCAUCAUCAUCAUCAUUAUCAUCAACCUCUUCUCUUUCAUGUAAGAACUAAGUAGCAAUUAUGUGUGUAUGCAUAUGUGCAAAGGGACUGUGCUACUUGUGUUUGACUCAAACAUUGUCAUAUAUUCUGCCUGCCUGCUGCUAAU